AUAUUUUUUUUUCAAAGCUUGAAGAUGAAUAUCAGAACAAGAGUGAGAUGUCGCACUCCAGAUGUGCUGACCACUGUGAUUUCCUCAAAUGUGGGAAAUUCCACUGCAUAAUUUGUAGUAGUGGAGGACUGUGGUCACGCUUUCCCCUG
This 149-nucleotide small nuclear RNA is filed under the name Canis lupus dingo (dingo). RNAcentral's name for it is "U1 spliceosomal RNA (ENSCAFG00020027358.1)". It matches the Rfam family "U1 spliceosomal RNA". Rfam says of the family: U1 is a small nuclear RNA (snRNA) component of the spliceosome (involved in pre-mRNA splicing). The record is from RNAcentral. Lineage: Eukaryota; Metazoa; Chordata; Mammalia; Carnivora; Canidae.